UACGAGGGGGGCUAGCGUUGCUCGGAAUCACUGGGCGUAAAGGGUGCGUAGGCGGUUCUUUAAGUCAGGGGUGAAAUCCUGGAGCUCAACUCCAGAACUGCCUUUGAUACUGAAGAUCUUGAGUUCGGGAGAGGUGAGUGGAACUGCGAGUGUAGAGGUGAAAUUCGUAGAUAUUCGCAAGAACACCAGUGGCGAAGGCGGCUCACUGGCCCGAUACUGACGCUGAGGCACGAAAGCGUGGGGAGCAAACAGG
Molecule: ribosomal RNA, 253 nt
Filed under: uncultured bacterium
Lineage: Bacteria
Description: partial 16S ribosomal RNA
Rfam family: Bacterial small subunit ribosomal RNA
Source: RNAcentral